AUCAGAGAGAGACGCUCAGAAAAGUCACACUUAGAAACAUCCACUAAACAAACAGUUACUACUCUGCAUCCACCUAAGACAACUACAAAAGCCUCUGAAAUCCCUAUGGAACUCGGGUUCAUCAGAGGUCCAUUAACUCUACAGGAAAAAUUAAGAAGAAAAGCUUUAGAUCUCUGUAUGUAUUGUGGAGGGAUCGAUCACUCUGUAAAGGACUGCUCUCAAUUACAGCGUAGGAAGGUGGGAUCAGCAAAGACUCAACUCACAAGCAAUCCUUGACUCUGGUGCCAGCCACAAUUAUAUAGAUUACCAAUUCACUACUGUAAAUAAAAUUCCACUAGUUAAGAAAA
Long non-coding RNA from Bombina bombina (fire-bellied toad), 347 nucleotides. RefSeq lists it as uncharacterized. Lineage: Eukaryota; Metazoa; Chordata; Amphibia; Anura; Bombinatoridae. The record is from RefSeq and is a predicted model, not a curated record. The transcript has 2 exons.